GCUGGGCAUGGUGGUGCAUGCCUGUAAUCCCAGCUACUCAGGAGGCUGAGGCAGGAGAAUUGCUUGAGCCCGGGAGGCAGAGGUAGCAGUGAGCCAAGAUCGCGCCACUGCACUCCAGCCUGGGUGACACAGCGAGACUCCGUCUCAA
RNAcentral lists this non-coding RNA (148 nucleotides) under Pan paniscus (pygmy chimpanzee). RNAcentral also lists the same sequence under 1 other name. The record is from Rfam by way of RNAcentral. Lineage: Eukaryota; Metazoa; Chordata; Mammalia; Primates; Hominidae.